AUGGAGGAGGAACUGCAGCAGCUCAGAGAGCUAGUGGCACAGCUUAGAACAGAUAACGAGCAGCUGUCUCGAGCGAGAGAUGCUUCCCAGGCCGGUCCCAGUAGGGCUGACCCCGCUCCUGUUGCUCCGGCUGCUGGUGCCAGCUCCAGGGUCACUGAACGGCUGGUUGUCAUACCUAGAGAUCGUAGAUGUCCCAUGUUCAAUGGCAGAACAGGUGUAGGCUUAGCUGAGUGGAAAGAGGAGCUACAGGUGUGUAUGCGUGCCCGCCACCUGUCUGUUCGUGAUCAGGCUUUCUUCAUCUUUGACCACCUAGAAGGGGAGGCCAGAGAAGAAAUAAAGUAUCGCCCCCGUGUGGAGAGGGAGGAUCCUGACGAGGUUUUGACCAUCUUGACUGAGCUUUAUGGCUGUGUACAUUCAUAUGUGACCCUGCAGCAAUCUUUCUUCUCCAGGAAGCAGCAGGACGGGGAGACAUUGUUAGAGUUUUCCUUGGCUCUAAUGGCCCUGAUGGAGUGUGUCAAGCAGUCAGCACCUGAUGCUCUGCCUAAUGCAGAAAUCCUUCUUCGCGACCAGUUCGUGGAGCAUGUGCUUGAUGGUGCCCUUCGCAGGGAAUUGAAGCAGUUCAUUCGUCGCGACCCCACUGCUUCUCUGCUUGACACACGUGGAGAGGCCAUUAGAUGGGAGAGGGAGGGCUCUCCAAGGGGUGUUAGGGAACGUAGCCACUCUCUUCCUUUGGCCCACGGUUUACAGUAUGGAGUGCAGGGUAGUUCUCGCCCCGCCCCUCUUGUCUCACCCCAUGACUCAGAGUUGAGCGAAGUGAAGGCUCUCUUGAAACGUCAACAAGGACAGCUUGACCAACUGGCCCAGACCAUGGCUUCUUUGCAGGCUCUUCCUUUUCCACCUCGGCCCCCUCGCAAUGGGCCUUUGAUCUGCAGAAGAUGUCAACAGCCAGUUCAUUAUGCCAGUGAUUGUGAUGGGGAGCGAGUCCCCCCUCGUCCCCGUGCUGGUUCUUUGACUGGUCGACCUACUACUGGGGCUGGAUUUUCCCGCCCUGCAUUUCAGCCGGAAAACUGA
RNAcentral lists this long non-coding RNA (1071 nucleotides) under Gadus morhua (Atlantic cod). RNAcentral describes it as "lncRNA (ENSGMOG00000031816.1)". Lineage: Eukaryota; Metazoa; Chordata; Actinopteri; Gadiformes; Gadidae. The record is from RNAcentral.